CGACCGGCGCACGGGUGAGUAACACGUAUGCAACCUGGCCGUCACAGGUGGAUAACCGGAAGAAAUUCCGACUAAUACAGCAUAACACUCCUGAGGGACAUCCUUCGGGAGUCAAAGGAGGCAACUCCGGUGACGGAUGGGCAUGCGGCGCAUUAGGUAAUUGGUAGGGUAACGGCCUACCAAGCCGACGAUGCGUAGGGGUUCUGAGAGGAAGGUCCCCCACAUUGGAACUGAGACACGGUCCAAACUCCUACGGAAGGCAGCAG
Molecule: ribosomal RNA, 266 nt
Filed under: uncultured bacterium
Lineage: Bacteria
Description: partial 16S ribosomal RNA
Rfam family: Bacterial small subunit ribosomal RNA
Source: RNAcentral